UACGUAGGGCGCAAGCGUUGCCCGGAAUUAUUGGGCGUAAAGAGCUCGUAGGCGGCUUGUCACGUCGGGUGUGAAAGCCCGGGGCUUAACCCCGGGUCUGCAUUCGAUACGGGCUAGCUAGAGUGUGGUAGGGGAGAUCGGAAUUCCUGGUGUAGCGGUGAAAUGCGCAGAUAUCAGGAGGAACACCGGUGGCGAAGGCGGAUCUCUGGGCCAUUACUGACGCUGAGGAGCGAAAGCGUGGGGAGCGAACAGG
This 253-nucleotide ribosomal RNA is filed under the name uncultured bacterium. RNAcentral describes it as "partial 16S ribosomal RNA". It matches the Rfam family "Bacterial small subunit ribosomal RNA", at positions 524 to 776 of the family's 1533-position model. The record is from RNAcentral.